GUACAAGAUCUACCUUUCUAAGUGGCAAGAGGCAUUGUGGAUUGUUGCUAUGAGAUUUUGUUGACUGACACAGAGUUUCAUUCUGUCACCCAGGCUGGAGUGCAGAUGCAGUGGCAUGAUGAUAGUGCACUACAACUUGGAACUCCUGGGCUCAAGCCAUCUUCCCUCCACUGCCUCCAAGUAGCUGGGGACUACAGGAUAUAUUUGGCAUUAAACUCGGGACAAAAGAAGACACAAACUUUAUCUUGUGGUUUGGGUCCUCCAAUCCUCAUAAAAGUGUGGUUUCACCUGUUACCUCAUAAAGGUGCCAUUGCUGUAUGCACAUCUGAAUCUGUUUACAAUUUGAGAAUAGAGAUUAUUGCCUGCUCCUCCAAGCCCUUCACUGUAGAAUGGAAGCCUGUGAUUUUCCUGGCAUCAUGCAUGACUGAGAAGGUCAGUGUGGCUAAUUCUGAGCUUCAACAUCAGGAAACCCGUAGUUCUUCACACUGAGCCGCCUCCUGCAGCACAGUCAUCCUUGGAUCAAGUUCAGAUGGCUUACGGUUGAGAUACAUGUUGCUAUGGCAGCAGGAAGAAAAUGAUGGAAAAGAAGAAAACAAAAAGCAAGAAAAAGUGAGAAAUCAAAGGACAACAUUUUCAAGGAUGAAGAGUGCUACAUCUAUUCAUUAUACAUUGUAGAUAUAGAUAAUAACAAUAGUAAUAAUGUGGUCAAAUUUUAAUAAAUAAAAAAUUGAGUUAAGCUUAAUCAUACAUAGUGCUUUUAUUGAAAACUAACACCUCAACAAUCACAUCUCUUCAUGUCACACAGUCAUCCAUGUGAAUGGAACAAAUAUCAGUAGCCUGAAGGACAAUACAAUUAUUGCAAAAAUAAUUUGCUUUUUCAGUUAAGGUCCUCACUUAUACAUGGGUUGGUUCUUUUUUAGCUUUGUGCUGAUUUCCUGUAGUCUUCCAUUGCAUUUAGGCACUAACUCAUUUGUCUAUGUUUCAGAAUGCCAGCGUAAAGGUGAAAUAAAGGUAAAACAACAACAAUAACAAAAAGGACAGGAAAGAACAACAACAAAUAAAUGGUGUGGCAAUUCUUAGCUGUUCAGUGUCUGACUCCCCUUUCAGUGUUUGGGGAAUUGCUCACCUUAUGAGUCUCAGUGGGAGACUCAGGCUCUGCUCAUUAUUAAAGUUGAAUACAUCAGGAACUUGCUUUCCCCACCUUGUUUGCAGUUAAGCCCAACACACCCCACCGUGGAGCCACAGAGAUAUGGAGGAUGCACUCUCUGGCAACAGUGGAGGAUGCACUCUCUGGCAGUAGUAGUGGGAACGCCAGUGGUGUGAGCACUGCAUGGCUUCCCGAAACAAGCCCUCUGGUGUGACGAGACAGUUUCUACAUUCUGUAACUCUAUACUGGAUUCUCCACCCAAAGCCACAGCUUGUCUGUCAAGGGCCUUCAUAUGAAAAAGGAAAAGGUGCCCCUGGCAGAUGCAGGCUCUGUCAGCACAUGGUGGCUCUGCCUCUGUCCUUCCUGUGGGCCCCUCAGCUGCCCAUGCUUCUUUUCUUAAAUAGAUUUUCUGCCAAAAUCAGCUAACAUUUGCGUUACUGCUUACAACUAACAACCUUACUGAUACACAUAAUAAGGCUACCACACCUGCCCAGCCAUAUCCAUAAACCUUUCCAUUAUGCUAUGUGCCUUUUAACAUACAGUAUAAUUCUUUUAUAUGGAUACCGCCUUAUUAUCUGGAAUUAUCACAGCACCCAGUGGAUGCCCCAAAACAACACAACUAGCAAAGAUUCAAUAUUCAGUUAGAGUAAAUAAUUCAUUUACUUAUACUUUAAAACAUUUAUAUGCAAUUUUAAAUGACACAACUUCAAGUAUUUAAAUGAGAUAGUUUAAAAGUUAAAUUCCUUCACUAUGUGUGUGAUGGCUACACUAAAACCCCAGACUUCACUACAGCACAAUAUAUGUAUGUAAUAAAUCUGCACUUGUACCCUCUAAAUCUAUAAAAGAUUUUUGUAUUUUAAGGAAAUUUUUAAAAUAAAAUAAAAGUUAAGUAUCUUUUGCCUUGGGGAAGGAGGAAAGAAUAAUAGUUAUCAGCUAGUAUAUGGGGAACUAUUUAAAGUACAUGUAACAAAAAAUGGUUCAUGGGAAGAGUAAACUGGACCACCUGGAGACCCUACUCUCCUGUCCAUUGAGAGACUACAAUCCUCAUGCUUGCUGUGCAUUUUCUCCAAUACCAUCAUGGCCACUGUAGCUGCCACUACUAGUGAAGACACACCAGGAUCCCACUGUAAUCACUGGGCUUAUUUCAAAGACACAGCUGCAAAUUUCACCACCCCAAAUCAACAGAAUAUGCAUUCUUUGCAGUGCGACAUGGCACUUAUUCUAAAAUCAACCACAUAAUUGGAAGUAAAACACUCCUCAGCAAAUGCAAAAGAACGAAAAUCAUAACAAUCUCUCAAAACAUAGGGCAAUCAAAUUAGAACUCAGAAUUAAGAAACUCACUCAAAACCACACAAUUACAUGGAAACUGAACAACCUGCUUCUGAAUGACUACUGGGUAAAUAAUGAAAUUAAGGCAGAAAUAAUGAAGUUCUUUUAAACCAAUGAGAACAAAGAGACAAUGUACCAGAAUCUCUGGGACACAGCUAAAGCAGUGCUAAAAGGGAAAUUUAUAGGAAUGAAUGCCCACAUCAGAAAGGUAGAGAGAUCUCAAAUCAAUACUCUAACACCACAAUUAAAAGAG
This 2729-nucleotide long non-coding RNA is filed under the name Homo sapiens (human). Its description in RNAcentral is "non-protein coding lnc-PCED1B-5:31". Lineage: Eukaryota; Metazoa; Chordata; Mammalia; Primates; Hominidae. The record is from RNAcentral.